UUGCAGUUAAAAAGCUCGUAGUUGGAUUUUGGUGUUUGACAAAUGGUCUGCCUUCGGGUCUGCACUGUUUGUUGGCACUUCUUUUCUGGGGAACUCACUGCUCUUAAUUGAGGGGUGCUGUAACGCAGAUCGUUUACUUUGAAAAAAUUAGAGUGUUCAAAGCAGGCCAACGCAUUGAAUACAUUAGCAUGGAAUAAUGGAAUAGGACUUUGGUCUUAUUUUGUUGGUUUCUAAGGCCGAGGUAAUGAUUAAUAGGGAUAGUUGGGGGCGUUUAUAUUCCGUUGUCAGAGGUGAAAUUCCUGGAUUUACGGAAGAUAAACUACUGCGAAAGCAUUCGCCAAGGAUGUUUUCAUUAAUCAAGAACGAAAGUUAGGGGAUCGAAGACGAUCAGAUACCGUCGUAGUCUUAACCAUAAACCAUGCCGACUAGGGAUCAGCAGACGCUCUUUAACGACUCUGUUGGCACCUUGUGAGAAAUCAAAGUUUUUGGGUUCCGGGGGGAGUAUGGUCGCAAGGCUGAAACUUAAAGGAAUUGACGGAUGGGCACCACCAGGAGUGGAGCCUGCGGCUUAAUUUGACUCACACGGGGAAACUUA
RNAcentral lists this ribosomal RNA (595 nucleotides) under uncultured eukaryote. RNAcentral's name for it is "SSU rRNA". It matches the Rfam family "Eukaryotic small subunit ribosomal RNA", at positions 613 to 1217 of the family's 1831-position model. The record is from RNAcentral.